Molecule: long non-coding RNA, 122 nt
Organism: Rhagoletis zephyria (snowberry fruit fly)
Lineage: Eukaryota; Metazoa; Arthropoda; Insecta; Diptera; Tephritidae
Source: RefSeq, a predicted model, not a curated record
UUUAAUUAAUCAUUUGGGGGAUUCACAACGCUGUCGCAAGUGUCGUAUUGCUGUAUGUCGUAAACUUUAAAAGCUUAAAUAAAUGUUUAGAGAACUUGAAACCACAACCAACUAUUUUUUAA